AAUAACACAUAGCUGAGUGGAUGAUAGAGCAGAUUGGUACCCCUCGAAUAAGCAUUGUCAACCUUAGCUUCGCCGCGGUUGACAAUGUUUUCUCGGGGUUACAAUAUGCUCUAUCACCCUCUCAGCUAUAUGUUAUU
RNAcentral lists this small RNA (137 nucleotides) under Mytilus galloprovincialis (Mediterranean mussel). The record is from RNAcentral. Lineage: Eukaryota; Metazoa; Mollusca; Bivalvia; Mytilida; Mytilidae.